GCCCUCAUAGCUCAGCAGGCAGAGCACCGGACUUUUAAUCCGAGGGUCGUAGGUUCGAUUCCUACUGAGGGUACCA
Molecule: transfer RNA, 76 nt
Filed under: Candidatus Pacearchaeota archaeon
Lineage: Archaea; Nanobdellati
Description: tRNA-Lys
Rfam family: tRNA
About the family: Transfer RNA (tRNA) molecules are approximately 80 nucleotides in length. Their secondary structure includes four short double-helical elements and three loops (D, anti-codon, and T loops).
Source: RNAcentral